Long non-coding RNA from Exaiptasia diaphana, 208 nucleotides. RefSeq lists it as uncharacterized. The transcript has 3 exons. Lineage: Eukaryota; Metazoa; Cnidaria; Anthozoa; Actiniaria; Aiptasiidae. The record is from RefSeq and is a predicted model, not a curated record.
UUUUNCUCAUCACAAGUGAGGGUAAGCCAGACUGGACAAAAAUGGCUGAGGAAAUGGCAAAAGAAAAGGGAGAAGAAAUGAAAGCCGCUGGUGAAAUGGAAGUUCGUGAUCGUCCAGUCAAUCUCACAGCUUUACAAGCUGACACUGAAGCUCCAUCCGCAUUGAUUUCAAGUCUGGAGACUAAGCUUUCAAGAUUCGUCGGUCCGUU